Molecule: long non-coding RNA, 389 nt
Organism: Pantherophis guttatus
Lineage: Eukaryota; Metazoa; Chordata; Lepidosauria; Squamata; Colubridae
Source: RefSeq, a predicted model, not a curated record
AUCUUCAUAUGAUGUACUUGCCUAUGCUGGCAUAUUUUGAAAAUACAUGCCAAGAACUUCAAGAUUAAUGGGAGAAUACCUCAAUGGAGCCCAAAUUUCCAAGACAGCUCACAGGUCCCCAACCCCGGCCUGUGGACCUGCAGCGAGCCACGGCAUGCCAGAAACUGGCCCUGCAAACAAGUGAAGCCCCAUCUGUGGGAUGCAGACAGCACACGAAACCACGCCCCUUCUGGUCCACAGAAAAAACUCUCUCCGCAGAUCUGGCCCCUGGUGCCCAAAAGGUUGGGAGCCGCUAGUCUGGUUGAAUGAAAGUUAACGCAUAAAAGCAAUUUUGUUUUAAAAAAAUAGACUCGUUUUAAAAGUUCUCCAUUAAAAUACUGUAUAAAAUA